AUACGUAGGUGGCGAGCGUUGUCCGGAAUUACUGGGCGUAAAGGAUGCGUAGGUGGAUAUUUAAGUGGGAUGUGAGAUCCCCGGGCUCAACCCGGGAACUGCAUUCCAAACUGGGUAUCUAGAGUGCAGGAGAGGAAAGCGGAAUUCCUAGUGUAGCGGUGAAAUGCGUAGAUAUUAGGAGAAACACCAGUGGCGAAGGCGGCUUUCUGAGAUGUAACUGACACUGAGGAAUGAAAGCGUGGGUAGCAAACAGGAUUAGAUACCCUGGUAGUCCACGCCGUAAACGAUGGGUACUAGGUGUAGGAGGUAUCGACCCCUUCUGUGCCGUCGUUAACACAAUAAGUACCCCGCCUGGGGAGUACGGUCGCAAGACUAAAACUCAAAUGAAUUGACGGGG
This 397-nucleotide ribosomal RNA is filed under the name uncultured bacterium. RNAcentral's name for it is "partial 16S ribosomal RNA". It matches the Rfam family "Bacterial small subunit ribosomal RNA", at positions 523 to 918 of the family's 1533-position model. The record is from RNAcentral.